RNAcentral lists this ribosomal RNA (461 nucleotides) under bacterium FD3003. RNAcentral's name for it is "bacterial SSU rRNA". It matches the Rfam family "Bacterial small subunit ribosomal RNA", at positions 28 to 458 of the family's 1533-position model. The record is from RNAcentral.
GACGAACGCUGGCGGCGUGCCUAACACAUGCAAGUCGAGCGGGGACAUUGCGACAGAAAUGAAGUUUUCGGAUGGAUUUGAAGAUGCAAUGUUCUAGCGGCGGACGGGUGAGUAACGCGUGAGCAACCUGUCCCUUACAGGGGGAUAACACAGCGAAAGUUGUACUAAUACCGCAUAAGACCACAGAGCGACAUCGCUCAGGGGUCAAAGGAGCAAUCCGGUAAGGGGUGGGCUCGCGUCCGAUUAGAUAGUUGGUGAGGUAACGGCCCACCAAGUCGACGAUCGGUAGCCGACCUGAGAGGGUGAUCGGCCACAUUGGGACUGAGACACGGCCCAAACUCCUACGGGAGGCAGCAGUGGGGAAUAUUGGGCAAUGGGGGAAACCCUGACCCAGCAACGCCGCGUGAGGGAAGAAGGUUUUCGGAUCGUAAACCUCUGUCCUUGGUGAAGAGGAAGAGACG